ACAAUGAGGAACUCUGAUGCUUGAUGCCGCGUGAGUGAAGAAGGCCUUUGGGUUGUAAAGCUCUUUUGUAGGGGAAGAUAAUGACUGUACCCUAAGAAUAAGGUCCGGCUAACUUCGUGCCAGCAGCCGCGGUAAUACGAAGGGACCUAGCGUAGUUCGGAAUUACUGGGCGUAAAGCGCGCGUAGGCCGUUGAGUUAGUUAAUUGUGAAAUCCCAAAGCUUAACUUUGGAACUGCAAUUAAAACUGCUCGACUAGAGUUUGAUAGAGGAAAGCGGAAUACAUAGUGUAGAGGUGAAAUUCGUAGAUAUUAUGUAGAACACCAGUUGCGAAGGCGGCUUUCUGGGUCAACACUGGACGCUGNAGGCGCCGNAUAAGUANNUGGCGUAGCACAAGAAGGAUUAGCAUACCGCUCGUAGUCCAGUACCAUAAACGAUGAUUGCUAGAUGUUGGAAAUUUAUUUUCAGUAUCGCAGCUAACGCAUUAAGCAAUCCGCCUGGGGAGUACGACCGCAAGGUUAAAACUCAAAUGAAUUGACGGGGACCCGCACAAGCGGUGGAGCAUGUGGUUUAAUUCGAAGAUACGCGCAGAACCUUACCAAACCCU
Molecule: ribosomal RNA, 604 nt
Filed under: uncultured bacterium
Lineage: Bacteria
Description: bacterial SSU rRNA
Rfam family: Bacterial small subunit ribosomal RNA
Source: RNAcentral